GCCAAAAGAUAAAAACAAGCAAGAAAGCAAACAAAUAAAAGUAACAACAAAAUUUAAGAACCCCUUGCAUGGAAGGAUGCUUAUUUCCUCUGGACUGAAAGAUGGCAUCAGAAGUGGGAUCUAAAGUAAAGCUUCUAACAAUCCCCAUGAGCACUGAGUGACCAAGCAAGGUACACGCCAGGCCUGUUCUGUCUGUUGCUCUCACAGAGGAGCUGGGGAUCGUGGAGGUUCAUGACAGGAUGAAAAGAAACCUGAGAAGCACUCUUGAAGAGAGGUUUCUGAAUAACUUUCGAAUCAUAUCAUUUGGACUGGAUAACAGUGUUGAGGCAGAGAAGUUUCAUAAUCUGCCUAAGAUCAUUGCAUUUACAAGUGACGAACCCACUGCACAAAUUUUGGCAAUGACAGAAACUUCAUCUGCAUUGGCUUCGGCAAAGCAGAAAUUUAUUAGCUUACAAGGGAGAGUGGAUUGUCAUUGAGACAUAUGUUCUGCUUACGUGGAGAGUAACUUGAGCAACGUUACCCACCUCUAUGUGGAAACACAGGUUUAUUUAGUAUGUUGAAAUUCCAGACAUAACUAUCUGUUCAGUAGCAGUGGUUCCUAUAAGACAACAACUUCACUGUUCAUUUUGUGCUAGUAGAAUGGAACUUCACGGACCUUGGAGAAGCAUACUCCAAACACUACAAAUGAUGGUUAUACUUUGGAGAGAUGCUAAGACAGCAGAUGCUAAAAUCCAGAUACCUUUUGUGAAUAUGAGGCAUAUCUACUGGGAACACAUCAUAAUAAUCUGUUGAGGUAAACAUUAAAGAUGGUGGCAAUAAGCAGUUGGAGAAAAAGAAAAAUAUCAACAUGCAAGGCACCAUUGUUUUCUUGCUUCUUAAUUGUAACUUUUUAUUUUUUGUGUAUAUGGCUAUCACAGAGAUUUAAAAA
This 928-nucleotide long non-coding RNA is filed under the name Homo sapiens (human). RNAcentral describes it as "PREDICTED lncRNA (TCONS_00070194)". Lineage: Eukaryota; Metazoa; Chordata; Mammalia; Primates; Hominidae. The record is from RNAcentral.